GGCCAAAUCUAAAUCUAAGACAAACCCAAUUUCACCUUGCCGUGAACACCCUACCGGCUAUCCCCUCUCUUUCUCAGAACAACCCUAGCUAAAUAUCCCUCUCUCUCAGUUUCAGCGCCGCCAGCAGCAGCAGCGGCGGCGUCGCCUUCUCUGUCCUCUUGUCGCCAGGUCUGCUCGGAGCUGCUGUUGGCGUUGCCGUCUCUGUCCUUGUCGUGUCGUCAAGCCUACUUGUCUUCGUCGUCGUCGGUGGCCAUGAACUCGUUUCUGUCCUCGUCGUCUUCGCUCGUCUCUGUCUUCGAUCCCUCUCUCUGUCUCUCUGUGUCGACCUCAAGGCAAAGUGCGAAAGUCCCUCUCUGCCUCCGUGGCCGUCUCUCUCUGCCGCCGUGAAAAAUUAUAGAGUUUGAUUAUGUUCGAUUGGCGUGUCUUGAUCACAAAUUCAUAGGAAGACUUAGUUUGGUUUGCUAAAGUUUUUUGAAGAGGUGUUUGUCUUUUGUGGUAAGCUGGUUGUGCAUGAAGAGGUGAACAGAACAAAAAGCAGAGUAUAAAAAUGAUUUUUUAGUUAUUAGCACUAAAAGCUGAAACAGUUUCAAAUAGGUUGAAAAAAGCAAUCAUAUCAAGCCAUUUUGUUAAUAAUCCUAAAAGUAGAGCCUGCAUGCAUGCAUGCAUAAUCUAUUAUCAUUGCAUAUGUAUCAUUGCAUAUGUAUCUUUUAUUUUUUUUUUUCACGUCAAUGGUAAGAUCA
Molecule: long non-coding RNA, 740 nt
Organism: Arachis duranensis
Lineage: Eukaryota; Viridiplantae; Streptophyta; Magnoliopsida; Fabales; Fabaceae
Exons: 3
Source: RefSeq, a predicted model, not a curated record